Molecule: ribosomal RNA, 253 nt
Filed under: uncultured bacterium
Lineage: Bacteria
Description: partial 16S ribosomal RNA
Rfam family: Bacterial small subunit ribosomal RNA
Source: RNAcentral
UACGUAGGGUGCAAGCGUUAAUCGGAAUUACUGGGCGUAAAGCGUGCGCAGGCGGCUUGCCAAGUCAGAUGUGAAAGCCCCGGGCUCAACCCGGGAAUGGCGUUUGAAACUGACAGGCUAGAGUUUGGCAGAGGGGGGUGGAAUUCCACGUGUAGCAGUGAAAUGCGUAGAGAUGUGGAGGAACACCGAUGGCGAAGGCAGCCCCCUGGGCCAAAACUGACGCUCAGGCACGAAAGCGUGGGGAGCAAACAGG